UACGUAGGAGGCAAGCGUUGUCCGGAAUCACUGGGCGUAGAGCGCGUGUAGGCGGAUCGCUAAGUCUGUGGUGAAAGCGCCUGGCUUAACCGGGCGAGGUCCAUGGAAACUAGCGGUCUGGAGGCCGGUAGAGGGGGGUGGAAUUCCGGGUGUAGUGGUGAAAUGCGUAGAGAUCCGGAGGAACACCAGUGGCGAAGGCGGCCCCCUGGGCCGCGCCUGACGCUGAGACGCGAAAGCGCGGGGAGCGAACGGG
RNAcentral lists this ribosomal RNA (253 nucleotides) under uncultured bacterium. RNAcentral describes it as "partial 16S ribosomal RNA". It matches the Rfam family "Bacterial small subunit ribosomal RNA", at positions 524 to 776 of the family's 1533-position model. The record is from RNAcentral.